This is a long non-coding RNA of Alligator mississippiensis (American alligator), 1383 nucleotides long. RefSeq lists it as uncharacterized. The transcript has 5 exons. The record is from RefSeq and is a predicted model, not a curated record. Lineage: Eukaryota; Metazoa; Chordata; Crocodylia; Alligatoridae.
GGGGCGCUACAGCAGCCUGGCGAUUUCUGGCUGGAGCAGGCGCGAGCCCAGCCUGCAGAUAGUUCUCCGGAGGAGGCAGCACCGAGGGAAAUCGCAAGGCCUCGGGACCAGGCCCCUUGUUGCCCCAGAGAGGAGCCGCUGCCAGACGCGGGAUCUGGUGCAGAGACCAUGAGCAGAGUUCAUCAGCAGCUUCCUGAAGAAGAAGGGCCUGCAAACCUGGAGCUGCUGAGGACUUCCCCGGGAAGGCUGGGGGAGAGGGCGCCACAGAGCCCUGAGCUGGGCCAGCUGCAGAAGGGGCAGGGCAGGCCGGCAAAGCAGGGGGAAAGCAUGGAGCUCCAGGAGGUGUUUGAGGACGUGGCUGUGUAUUUCACGCGGGCAGAGUGGGAGCUCCUGAAAGAUGCAGACAAGGUGCUUUAGCAGGACCAGAUGCUGUGAAGCCAGGACCAGGACCAGGAACCAGGAACUGUGAAGCCCUCAUUUCCCUGGGAUAUCAAGGCCCCACACCCAACUUAAUCUGCUGCAUCCAGCAAAGACAGGAGGAGCUCUGGGUCUGCGGUGAUGAGGACCAUGGGGAAAUCUCAAGCUCUGAGGACCUGUGGCUAGGAGGUGCCUGGCUGCUGAGCAGAGCAGAGGAAGGGCCUGCAAAUCUGGAGUCACCCGGGAUUACCCCAGGGAGUUUGGGCAAGACGGAGUCCGUGAGACUUGAGGACAAACGAUGGCUCCAGAGCCAGGGGAACCCCCAAAAGCAGAAGGAGAAUGUAGCAAUGACCCAGAUGCGAUCUCUCCUUGGGGGUGAGAGUGAAGAAGGAACAGAAGCCAGACAGAGCCCUGGGCGCAGGGAAGGAUUUGUGGAGCUGAAGAGCCAUGAAGCCAAGUUCUUCUGGAGAGAGACCCCGAAUCUAAGGCGAGCCAGCAGGAAGGGCCUCAGAGGGCAGCAGGAGCUCCCCACCACGCCCAGGGGCAGAGGCCGCCCCUGCCCUGAGUUCUGGAAAAGCUUUAGCUUCCUCUCACUCCUGGCUCUGCACAAGAUAAGCUACAUUGGGGAAAAGCGCCACCUAUGCGUCAGGUGUGGGAAGGGCUUCACCUGUGGCUUCGCCCAAGCUACUCAUUGCAAGAUCAAUUAUGGAGAGCUCCCACACCACUUAACCAGAUUUGGGAGGAGCUUUGUGUGCCUCUCAGAAGUAAGAAAGCACCAAGAUGUGCAUAGGGGAAACUGUCAGUACCGUUGUGUCACGUGUGGCAAGACCUUCACUCAUUUCUUCUCCCUAGCUCAGCACUGGCACAUUCACGCGAGGGAUAAACAGCAUCGGUAUCCUGAGUGUGGGAGGCGUUUCAGACGUUCCACCAACCGAGCCAAACACCAGUGCAUCCACACAGGGCAGA